This 83-nucleotide transfer RNA is filed under the name Glycine max (soybean). Its description in RNAcentral is "tRNA-Leu". It matches the Rfam family "tRNA". From Rfam's summary of the family: Transfer RNA (tRNA) molecules are approximately 80 nucleotides in length. Their secondary structure includes four short double-helical elements and three loops (D, anti-codon, and T loops). Lineage: Eukaryota; Viridiplantae; Streptophyta; Magnoliopsida; Fabales; Fabaceae. The record is from RNAcentral.
GCUGGUUUGCCCGAGAAGUAAAGGGGGAAGACUUAAGAUCUUCUUCACAUAAGUGCCCUUGGGUUCGAACCCUACUGCCAGAA